GGGCCUCUAGCUCAUGCCUGGUUAGAGCAGCGGACUCAUAAUUGUCCGUUCUAUGGGGUCUUUGUGCAGUAAAAACA
RNAcentral lists this transfer RNA (77 nucleotides) under Bordetella bronchiseptica Bbr77. RNAcentral describes it as "tRNA Met anticodon CAT, Cove score 66.21". Lineage: Bacteria; Pseudomonadati; Pseudomonadota; Betaproteobacteria; Burkholderiales; Alcaligenaceae. The record is from RNAcentral.